Molecule: ribosomal RNA, 699 nt
Filed under: uncultured bacterium
Lineage: Bacteria
Description: bacterial SSU rRNA
Rfam family: Bacterial small subunit ribosomal RNA
Source: RNAcentral
UUAGUUUGAUCCUGGCUCAGAACGAACGCUGGCGGCAGGCUUAACACAUGCAAGUCGGAGGAGAAGCAGGGCUUCGGCCCUGUGGAAACUGGCGCACGGGUGAGUAACGCGUGGGAAUCUACCCUGGGGUGGGGAAUAACCGCUGGAAACGGCGGCUAAUACCGCAUACGCCUUGAGAGGGAAAGCUUUAUGCGCCCUGGGAUGAGCCCGCGUCGGAUUAGCUUGUUGGUGAGGUAACGGCUCACCAAGGCUUCGAUCCGUAGCUGGUCUGAGAGGAUGAUCAGCCACACUGGGACUGAGACACGGCCCAGACUCCUACGGGAGGCAGCAGUGGGGAAUAUUGGACAAUGGGGGAAACCCUGAUCCAGCCAUGCCGCGUGCGUGAAGAAGGCCUUAGGGUUGUAAAGCGCUUUCGGCGGGGAAGAUGAUGACGGUACCCGCAGAAGAAGCCCCGGCUAACUCCGUGCCAGCAGCCGCGGUAAUACGGAGGGGGCAAGCGUUGUUCGGAAUUACUGGGCGUAAAGGGCGCGUAGGCGGACGAUCAAGUUAGAGGUGAAAGCCCUGGGCUCAACCUGGGAACUGCCUUUGAAACUGAUAGUCUAGAGUCCGAGAGAGGAUGGCGGAAUUCCCAGUGUAGAGGUGAAAUUCGUAGAUAUUGGGAAGAACACCAGUGGCGAACGCGGCCAUCCUGGCUCGGUA